AAUAGAUACCCUGGUAGUCCACGCCGUAAACGAUGAGUGCUAAGUGUUAGGGGGGUUUUCCGCCCCUUAGUGCUGCAGCUAACGCAUUAAGCACUCCGCCUGGGGAGUACGGUCGCAAGACUGAAACUCAAAGGAAUUGACGGGGGCCCGCACAAGCGGUGGAGCAUGUGGUUUAAUUCGAAGCAACGCGAAGAACCUUACCAGGUCUUGACAUCCCGCUGAUCGCUAUGGAGACAUAGUUUUCCCUUCGGGGACAGCGGUGACAGGUGGUGCAUGGUUGUCGUCAGCUCGUGUCGUGAGAUGUUGGGUUAAGUCCCGCAACGAGCGCAACCCUUGUUCUUAGUUGCCAUCAUUUAGUUGGGCACGUCUAAGGAGACUGCCGGUGACAAACCGGAGGAAGGUGGGGAUGACGUCAAAUCAUCAUGCCCCUUAUGACCUGGGCUACACACGUGCUACAAUGGACGGUACAAACGGUCGCGAAGUCGCGAGACGGAGCCAAUCCGAUAAAACCGUUCUCAGUUCGGAUUGUAGG
This 532-nucleotide ribosomal RNA is filed under the name uncultured bacterium. RNAcentral's name for it is "bacterial SSU rRNA". It matches the Rfam family "Bacterial small subunit ribosomal RNA", at positions 777 to 1304 of the family's 1533-position model. The record is from RNAcentral.